UCCAUGGCAAAAACUGGCUUAAAAUUAAAUUUAACCAGGUUAAAAAUGAACAAAAUUGAUUAAUUUAUGUUCAUAGUUCACCACUUCAGUCAGAAUUGGGAUACGUAUCGUAUGCAAUGUUGGGGAAUUUGCUGCAGUAAGCUGUGUUUUUUACAGUUUGUCUUUGAUUAAAAUGGUCAAAGGAAUUGUCAGCGUUUCAUUAUGAACUUAAUUUGCCCCGGAAGUCGUAACACAGACCCAGAAAUGAAACGGCCAGCGUCUCCUAGCAACGCCGACCUACAGCCAAUGGCAGUCAAGAGUGUUGCUAAUGCCCAUUUCACGUCACAGCGCAGCUUCCACGUGCGUGACAAUCUCACAAACACAAGCUACAGUAGUAAACACAUGCUAGUGGACUAGCAUACCGGCAGAAAGUUUUUGCGUCAGGGCUCGAAAAAGAAUGGUUCUCCACUGUCAGUGGGGCAUCUGUACAGGCGAUGUCAGGUAUCCCGAUCGUAUUUGUGGAGGUAAAAUUCACAGAUUUCCAAAAUCUGAAACGGAAUGCAUUGCUUGGAUCAAAGCUUGUGCAUGACCGCAUUUGCAGCUCAACUGUCGUAGGAUCAAUAAGAACAAUGGAGUGUGUGCUGGUCAUUUUGUCGGCGGGGAUGGGCCAACAGCGUCCCAUCCUUAUCCGAUACUUGCAGACGGAGCCCGAGUGCAUAAAGCAAGGCCUGCAAGAAAAAGAGCAUCAGAAAGUGCAAGUAGGCAAGACAGUCAAGACAAGAGACCACGGAUUGGAGCAGAGAGCUUGAUGCCAUCUAGAUCACAGUGAAUGUUCUGAAAUAUUUACAGGGAUACCUACGAUGCUGCGGUGAACAAUGAUGCAGACAAAAGGACAGAGGAUGCAGACAAAGGGAUAGGGGUGCAAGCAGAUGAACAGUGUGAACUUAAUGGGGCAUUGGAGAGAAUCCAACAGUUGAAGCAGACCAUAUCAAAACUCUCCCUUACUGGACCUCUUUCUAAGAGAUGGUGUUUGUCUGAUGAAGACUUUAAGUAUUUCACCAGGUUUCCAUCUAAAGAUGUCUUCUAUGUUUUUUGGGCUUCUGUGGAACCUUCUGCAUCAAUGAUUGCAUACUGGUCUGAAGCAAACAGGAUUGCAGCUCUUCCAGAAGCGGCCAACCUUGAGUUAACACCUGAGCAUGAACUUCCACUCAUCGAUGAGUUCUUUAUGUUCUGCCUCCAUCUGUCUGCUGGGCUGAAAGACAGAGUUCUGGCAGGGAUGUUUGGGGUCAGUCGCUUGCGAGUGAUUCAGACCAUCGUCACGUGGUCCAACUACUUGUAUCUUGUGCUGGGGUCGGUACGAAUCUGGAUGACACGAGCGCAGGUCCGAAAGACGAUGGCCCCAAUAAUCCGUCAGUACUGCCUCUGCACAAGGGUCAUCCUUGCAUGUGCUGAGCUCAGAUGUGAAAUCGGAGAAAUGAAAACAUCUUCUGAAACUUUGUUAUGCAAGAGGAAGUGUGUCACAUAUAAAGCUUUGGUUGGAAUAGCUCCCUGUGGCUUCAUCACCUUUGUGUCAAAAUUAUUUUCUGAUUCCAUCUCAAAUGAUGAACUGACGAGGCUCUCUGGGAUUUUGAAGUUACUUGAGCCAGGUGACGAGGUCAUAGCACCCAAAAACUUUUAUAUUGACAAUCUGUUGAAAAAUGUUGGGGCAAAACUCGUCACAUUCCCUGUGAGCUCUGAGGACGGAAUCAGCUUGAACCAAUGGAGAGCCCAGAGUGUUGCCAGGCUCCAUGCUCUCGUUGAGUGUGUAAUUAAAAGGAUAAAGGGGAACAAGCUUUUGGACUUGACGAUUCCUUAUACCCUAGCAGGAACAAUCAAUCAGAUCUGGUCCUGUUGUUGCUUCAUGGCUAAUUACCAGGGUCAGUAACAUAAAAACGCUCUUCUAAUCUGUUACAAAGGCCAGCAUUUUAAUUUAAAAUUAUGUUUGUUAGAAAGUAGUCUUAUUUUAUCUGAUCUCACUCUGUAAAUGUCUGUAUUAUUUUAAGUGUAAAUAAACAGUUGUCAUAAAAUA
This is an RNA transcript of Poecilia latipinna (sailfin molly), 2047 nucleotides long. RefSeq lists it as uncharacterized. Lineage: Eukaryota; Metazoa; Chordata; Actinopteri; Cyprinodontiformes; Poeciliidae. The transcript has 4 exons. The record is from RefSeq and is a predicted model, not a curated record.